CUUAAAGGAAGUUGACGGGGACCCGCACAAGUGGUGGAGCAUGUGGUUUAAUUCGAAGAUACACGAAGAACCUUACCUGGCCUUGACAUGGUAGGAACCCUUAAGAGAUUAGGGGGUGCUAGCUUGCUAGAACCUACACACAGGUGCUGCACGGCUGUCGUCAGCUCGUGUCGUGAGAUGUUCGGUUAAGUCCGCUAACGAGCGCAACCCUCGCUGUGUGUUACAAGUGUCACACGGAACUGCCGGUCAUAAACCGGAGGAAGGUGGGAUGACGUCAAGUCAGCAUGGCCUUUAUAUCCUGGGCUACACACACGCUACAAUGGGAAAGGACAAUAGGUAGCGAAACCGCGAGGUGGAGCCAAUCCAGCAAAAUUUCCCUCAGUUCAGAUUGCAGGCUGCAACUCGCCUGCAUGAAGUUGGAGUUGCUAGUAAACGCAGGUCAGCCAUACUGCGUUGAAUACGUUCCCGGGGCUU
This 474-nucleotide ribosomal RNA is filed under the name uncultured Anaerolineaceae bacterium. Its description in RNAcentral is "bacterial SSU rRNA". It matches the Rfam family "Bacterial small subunit ribosomal RNA", at positions 900 to 1382 of the family's 1533-position model. The record is from RNAcentral. Lineage: Bacteria; Bacillati; Chloroflexota; Anaerolineae; Anaerolineales; Anaerolineaceae.